RNAcentral lists this ribosomal RNA (1357 nucleotides) under Enterobacter hormaechei. RNAcentral's name for it is "partial 23S ribosomal RNA". It matches the Rfam family "Bacterial large subunit ribosomal RNA", at positions 398 to 1755 of the family's 2925-position model. Lineage: Bacteria; Pseudomonadati; Pseudomonadota; Gammaproteobacteria; Enterobacterales; Enterobacteriaceae. The record is from RNAcentral.
UGUGAACUCGAAGAGUAGGGCGGGACACGUGGUAUCCUGUCUGAAUAUGGGGGGACCAUCCUCCAAGGCUAAAUACUCCUGACUGACCGAUAGUGAACCAGUACCGUGAGGGAAAGGCGAAAAGAACCCCGGCGAGGGGAGUGAAAAAGAACCUGAAACCGUGUACGUACAAGCAGUGGGAGCCUCUUUAUGGGGUGACUGCGUACCUUUUGUAUAAUGGGUCAGCGACUUAUAUUCUGUAGCAAGGUUAACCGUAUAGGGGAGCCGAAGGGAAACCGAGUCUUAACUGGGCGUUAAGUUGCAGGGUAUAGACCCGAAACCCGGUGAUCUAGCCAUGGGCAGGUUGAAGGUUGGGUAACACUAACUGGAGGACCGAACCGACUAAUGUUGAAAAAUUAGCGGAUGACCUGUGGCUGGGGGUGAAAGGCCAAUCAAACCGGGAGAUAGCUGGUUCUCCCCGAAAGCUAUUUAGGUAGCGCCUCGUGAACUCAUCUUCGGGGGUAGAGCACUGUUUCGGCUAGGGGGCCAUCCCGGCUUACCAACCCGAUGCAAACUACGAAUACCGAAGAAUGUUAUCACGGGAGACACACGGCGGGUGCUAACGUCCGUCGUGAAGAGGGAAACAACCCAGACCGCCAGCUAAGGUCCCAAAGUCAUGGUUAAGUGGGAAACGAUGUGGGAAGGCACAGACAGCCAGGAUGUUGGCUUAGAAGCAGCCAUCAUUUAAAGAAAGCGUAAUAGCUCACUGGUCGAGUCGGCCUGCGCGGAAGAUGUAACGGGGCUAAACCAUGCACCGAAGCUGCGGCAGCGACGCUUAUGCGUUGUUGGGUAGGGGAGCGUUCUGUAAGCCGUCGAAGGUGUGCUGUGAGGCAUGCUGGAGGUAUCAGAAGUGCGAAUGCUGACAUAAGUAACGAUAAAGCGGGUGAAAAGCCCGCUCGCCGGAAGACCAAGGGUUCCUGUCCAACGUUAAUCGGGGCAGGGUGAGUCGACCCCUAAGGCGAGGCCGAAAGGCGUAGUCGAUGGGAAACAGGUUAAUAUUCCUGUACUUGGUGUUACUGCGAAGGGGGGACGGAGAAGGCUAUGUCAGCCGGGCGACGGUUGUCCCGGUUUAAGCAUGUAGGCGGAGGUUCCAGGUAAAUCCGGUACCUUGUUAACGCUGAGGUGUGAUGACGAGGCACUACGGUGCUGAAGUGAUAAAUGCCCUGCUUCCAGGAAAAGCCUCUAAGCAUCAGGUAACACGAAAUCGUACCCCAAACCGACACAGGUGGUCAGGUAGAGAAUACCAAGGCGCUUGAGAGAACUCGGGUGAAGGAACUAGGCAAAAUGGUGCCGUAACUUCGGGAGAAGGCACGCUGAU